GACGAACGCUGGCGGCGUGCUUAACACAUGCAAGUCGAACGGAAAGGCCCUGCUUUUGUGGGGUGCUCGAGUGGCGAACGGGUGAGUAACACGUGAGUAACCUGCCCUUGACUUUGGGAUAACUUCAGGAAACUGGGGCUAAUACCGGAUAGGAGCUCCUGCUGCAUGGUGGGGGUGGGAAAGUUUCGGCGGUUGGGGAGGGACUCGCGGCUUAUCAGCUUGUUGGUUGGGUAGUGGCUUACCAAGGCUUGGACAGGUAGCCGACCUGAGAGGGUGACCGGCGACAUUGGGACUGAGCUACGGCCCAGACUCCAACGGGAGGCAGCGGUGGGGAGUAUUACACUGUGGGCGGGAGCCUGAUGCGGCCACGCCGCGUGCGGGAUGACGGCCUUGGGGUUGUAAACCGCUUUCGCCUGUGACGAAGCGUUAGUGACGGUACUGGGUGAAGAAGCACCGGCUAACUACGUG
This 468-nucleotide ribosomal RNA is filed under the name uncultured bacterium. RNAcentral's name for it is "partial 16S ribosomal RNA". It matches the Rfam family "Bacterial small subunit ribosomal RNA", at positions 28 to 507 of the family's 1533-position model. The record is from RNAcentral.